This 609-nucleotide ribosomal RNA is filed under the name uncultured archaeon. RNAcentral describes it as "bacterial SSU rRNA". It matches the Rfam family "Archaeal small subunit ribosomal RNA", at positions 319 to 928 of the family's 1478-position model. The record is from RNAcentral.
GGCCCUACGGGGUGCAGCAGGCGCGAAAACUUUACAAUGCUGGGAACAGCGAUAAGGGAACCUCGAGUGCCAGGUUACAAAUCUGGCUGUCGAGAUGCCUAAAAAGCAUUAUAUAGCAAGGGCCGGGCAAGACCGGUGCCAGCCGCCGCGGUAACACCGGCGGCUCGAGUGGUAACCGUUAUUAUUGGGUCUAAAGGGUCUGUAGCCGGCCGGAUAAGUCUCUUGAGAAAUCUGGCAGCUUAACUGUCAGGCUUUCAGGGGAUACUGUCUGGCUCGAGGCCGGGAGAGGUGAGAGGUACUUCAGGGGUAGGGGUGAAAUCUUGUAAUCCUUGAAGGACCACCAGUGGCGAAGGCGUCUCACCAGAACGGACCUGACGGCAAGGGACGAAAGCUAGGGGCACGAACCGGAUUAGAUACCCGGGUAGUCCUAGCCGUAAACGAUACUCGCUAGGUGUCGGCCACGGUGCGACCGUUGUCGGUGCCGUAGGGAAGCCGUGAAGCGAGCCACCUGGGAAGUACGGCCGCAAGGCUGAAACUUAAAGGAAUUGGCGGGGGAGCACCACAACGGGUGGAGCUUGCGGUUUAAUUGGAUUCAACGCCGGAAAUCUU